Melanotaenia boesemani (Boeseman's rainbowfish) is the source of this 204-nucleotide long non-coding RNA. RefSeq lists it as uncharacterized. The transcript is spliced from 3 exons. NCBI's taxonomy places the organism in Eukaryota, Metazoa, Chordata, Actinopteri, Atheriniformes, Melanotaeniidae. The record is from RefSeq and is a predicted model, not a curated record.
CUAAUCGUGACCAGGAAGAGACUGCGCAUAAAGCCCAUACAGAAGGAAAAAUAAAAAAAAGGAAUUACCAAAAUCCAAAAACAGGGCGGAUUUUAAAUUAGGUUGUUCUUGUCAAUGACCGCUAAUGCCAUUACAACUCAUGGAGAAAACGGAGUUAACGAAGCUGAAUGUGUUAAAUACGGAAUGUGAGCCGCUAAGCAUUAU